UGAGGGCGGCACUGGGCGCUAUGGCUAACGACAAGGCGUCAGGUUUAGAUGGGCUUCCGGCAGAAGUAUAUAGGACCUUUACGGAAGUGCUGCUCCCGGAACUUUUGAAGGGUGGCGGAGCUGGAGCAGUGGCAUAGCCGUGCGAGGUGAGCCAGGACAGGAGAGGGAGUAGUCCCGUCUGGGAGGAAGAAAGAAGAGCCUGCCUGAAGAUACUGAGUGCCAUCUCGCGUGCCUGCUAAGUUAGGGUGGCGGAGCUGGAGCGGUGGCAUAGCCGUGCAACGUGAGCCAGGACAGGAGAGGGAGUAGUCCCGUCUGGGAGGCAGAGGAAGAAAGAAGAGCCUGCCUGAAGAUACUGAGUGCCAUCUCGCGUGCCUGCUAAGUUAGGGCACCUGAAUACGUGAGAGGACGUCCCUGACCAGAGUGAAUCAGCAGGACCUUCAUUUGAAGAGGUCAAGAAUCGUUGGCGGAGCUGCCGUGACCAAUUCCGCAAGGAAAUGAGAAAUCAGGGGCGGAGCGGGGCUGGUCUCCACAAGAAAAGACCGUACCUCUUCCGGGAGCAGCUAAUGUUCCUUCGCGCCGUCAUGGAUCUGCGUCCAGGAGGAAGGAGAAGAAUCGGCUCCACAAUUGUCCAGUGCUUGUGAGGAGGAGACGACAGCUGGGCAGCAGGAGACUCUUCCUGGACCCAGACCAGCACCUUCCGAGCCUCCUGCAGCAUCAGGAGCUGAUUUGUGCCGCUAUGGCUAUGACAACUAAUUGUCCCCAACCACCCCACUGUUUCCCAGCCAUUACCCGACCAACAACAAAUGCCCCCCCCCAAGGGAUCAUUAUGGGCCACCAAUGGCGCCAUAUGUUCCCCAGAUUCAGGGUGAACCCAGCUAUGGUCCUCCGGGACCCUCGCCCAGUCGAGCUGGGCCACCACAAUGCCUUGGCCCCCCUUCCCAGGCACAAUAUUCAAGGGCUCCUUCCCAGGCCCAAUAUUCAGGUCCCCCAUCCCAGGGCCAAUAUUCAGGUCCCCCAUCCCAGGGCUAAUAUUCCGGCCCCCCUUCACAGGGCCAAUAUUCCGGCCCCCCUUCACAGGGCCAAUAUUCCGGCCCCCCCUUCACAGGGCCAAUAUUCCGGCCCCCCCUUCACAGGGCCAAUAUUCCGGCCCCCCCUUCACAGGGCCAAUAUUCCGGCCCCCCCUUCACAGGGCCAAUAUUCAAGGGCUCCUUAUGAGGGACAAGCUCAAAAUCAGGCUGGACCCUCACAAUAUUCAGCCCCUCCUUAUCAGGGACCUUCUUCGCCAAGGCAAUAUGUUAAUUUGCAGUAAUUUUGCCUGAAAAAUUUAUUUAUUUUCAUAUACCAGAGAUUUUAUUUUCAUAUUGUGUGCAAUAAAACACAUUUUUGUUUUCAA
Long non-coding RNA from Bufo gargarizans (Asiatic toad), 1393 nucleotides. RefSeq lists it as uncharacterized. Lineage: Eukaryota; Metazoa; Chordata; Amphibia; Anura; Bufonidae. The transcript has 6 exons. The record is from RefSeq and is a predicted model, not a curated record.